AAUUUUGGACAAUGGGGGAAACCCUGAUCCAGCCAUCCCGCGUGUGUGAUGAAGGCCUUCGGGUUGUAAAGCACUUUUGACAGGGAAGAAAUGGUAGAGGCUAAUAACCUCUGCAGAUGACGGUACCUGUAGAAUAAGCACCGGCUAACUACGUGCCAGCCGCCGCGGUAAUACGUAGGGUGCAAGAGUUAAUCGGAAUUACUGGGCGUAAAGGGUGCGCAGGCGGUUUGGCAAGAAGGAUGUGAGAUCCCGGGGCUUAACCUCGGAACUGCAUUCUUAACUGCCAGGCUAGAGUAUGUCAGAGGGGGGUAGAAUUCCGCGUGUAGCAGUGAAAUGCGUAGAGAUGCGGAGGAAUACCGAUGGCGAAGGCAGCCCCCUGGGAUAAUACUGACGCUCAGGCACGAAAGCGUGGGGAGCAAACA
Molecule: ribosomal RNA, 422 nt
Filed under: uncultured bacterium
Lineage: Bacteria
Description: partial 16S ribosomal RNA
Rfam family: Bacterial small subunit ribosomal RNA
Source: RNAcentral